RNAcentral lists this ribosomal RNA (495 nucleotides) under uncultured bacterium. Its description in RNAcentral is "partial 16S ribosomal RNA". It matches the Rfam family "Bacterial small subunit ribosomal RNA", at positions 28 to 507 of the family's 1533-position model. The record is from RNAcentral.
GAUGAACGCUGGCGGCGUGCCUAAUACAUGCAAGUAGAACGCUGAAGGAGGAGCUUGCUCUUCUGGAUGAGUUGCGAACGGGUGAGUAACGCGUAGGUAACCUGCCUGGUAGCGGGGGAUAACUAUUGGAAACGAUAGCUAAUACCGCAUGACAACAGUUAUUGCAUGAUAACUGUUUAAAAGGGGCAACUGCUCCACUACCAGAUGGACCUGCGUUGUAUUAGCUAGUUGGUGAGGUAACGGCUCACCAAGGCGACGAUACAUAGCCGACCUGAGAGGGUGAUCGGCCAAACUGGGAAUGAGACACGGCCCAGACUCCUACGGGGGGGAGCAGUAGGGAAUUUUCGGCAAUGGGCGGAAGUCUGACCGAGCAACGCCGCGUGAGUGAAGAAGGUUUUCGGAUCGUAAAGCUCUGUUGUAAGAGAAGAACGAGUGUGAGAGUGGAAAGUUCACACUGUGACGGUAUCUUACCAGAAAGGGACGGCUAACUACGUG